AAGCCCCUUCGAGAGCUGCAGGCCUUCGCCCGGUCCCAGUCGGAGUACCGCGCUGAAAGUGGCAAAGUCGCGCGAACUUAGGGCAAAUCAUGGCCGGGAACGAGGAUUAGGAGUGGAUAAAGCACCCUUUAUUUAUAAAUACAACACGAACCACAUAAACCGUUCCGUAAAGCCUGAAGGAACUGAAAAGUGCCCAUAAAUAUAAUCCAGACGUCGCCUGCAGGCAGCUGUUCGUCCAGGGAUGCACGUAUUCGAUACAGGUGGUACCGAUGGUUCCCCAUACAGGAAGAGGUAACUUGCUGUAAAUUUGGGUCAUUUUCACAUCACUACGACACUCCGCGACCACGGAAUCGCUAAAUAGAACUCUGGAUAUUGACCAUUGAAGUUUCACUUUUACCUGUGCUUACGAAGACAUGUAAACAAGCCCCAAAACCCACCCUACAACGACCCCAGACGCCCCAAAACCCAUUACAUAACAACAACAACAAACAAAAAAUGCAUACUCACCACAUAGACCGUGCCGUAGACCCUGAGGGAGUCGAAGAUAGCGUACAAGUAGAGGCCGGAAAUCCCCUGCAGACAGCUGUCAGUCCAGGGAUGCACGUAGUCGAUGCAGGUGGUUUUGAUGGUUCCUGUUACGGGAAGCGGGAACUUGCUGUAGAUCUGGGCCAUUUUCACGCGACCGCACACGAAACUGCUACAGGUUUCCGAGGAACGAGCAUCUAACUUGGAUUUCGAUUAUUGUCGCGGGUCACGCAAGGGCUCUUCGAGAAGACAUGUAAUCGAGUUUAUUUUGGGUUUGCGUCACAACAUCUUGAGCAGAAUGACAGGAGUCACGGAUGAAUCCACUUUCACGGGAGAACAGCUGAUGGCAUCGAUAACCUCAUUCGGAGUUGUUCUUUGUGUUUACAAGUUUAGUUGGGGCGGCGGCGGGGAGAUGGCGGGAGGCGGAACGGGGGCUGCAAAAGAGAACAGGAGCGUUGGGGGUUAUAAAGUUAAGAAACACGUAGUUUAGAUAGCUGAUUUAAAGGCAGUGGUACAAUUUUGAGGAUAAAGGGUUGUAGUUUGAGCUUAGUGUGUUUGCGUGGGUUGGUACUGUUAAUUUAUGUCAACAGUGUCACUUGUCAGGGGUGUAACAGUGUCAGCAAUAUAAGGUUUGAUUAAAGAGCUGUGUCUGAAACAAAGAUUUUAAAAUAUAUUUUUACUUUGAGUUGAUCUUGGAGUUUCUUCCUAUCGUUGGAGAAUACCGUACGGUCCUGACAAUGCAACAUACAUAAAAAGUGGCGCAUUUCAACCAAACAGUUGGUACCCUUGGCACAACAAAUUGUCAAAUUCUAACCUACAAAUUCUCAAACAAAUGCAAAACAAUG
This is an RNA transcript of Zophobas morio, 1370 nucleotides long. It is a transcript of the gene named GSK3B-interacting protein, with no coding region annotated. NCBI's taxonomy places the organism in Eukaryota, Metazoa, Arthropoda, Insecta, Coleoptera, Tenebrionidae. The transcript is spliced from 4 exons. The record is from RefSeq and is a predicted model, not a curated record.